GAUCAUGGCUCAGGAUGAACGCUAGCUACAGGCUUAACACAUGCAAGUCGAGGGGCAGCAUAACCUAGCAAUAGGUUGAUGGCGACCGGCGCACGGGUGAGUAACACGUAUCCAACCUACCGGUUAUUCUGGGAUAGCCUUUCGAAAGAAAGAUUAAUACCGGAUAGCAUAACGAGAAGGCAUCUUCUUGUUAUUAAAGAACUUCGAUAACCGAUGGGGAUGCGUUCCAUUAGUUUGUUGGCGGGGUAACCGG
Molecule: ribosomal RNA, 253 nt
Filed under: uncultured bacterium
Lineage: Bacteria
Description: partial 16S ribosomal RNA
Rfam family: Bacterial small subunit ribosomal RNA
Source: RNAcentral